Long non-coding RNA from Globicephala melas (long-finned pilot whale), 1882 nucleotides. RefSeq lists it as uncharacterized. Lineage: Eukaryota; Metazoa; Chordata; Mammalia; Artiodactyla; Delphinidae. The record is from RefSeq and is a predicted model, not a curated record.
GGCAAGUGGUCAGCGGUCAGCACGGCUCUCCCGCCUCUCGCUGCCGCCAGAGUCCCCGCGGCCCGGCCGGGAGGCUGUACGGGGCAUUAUGGAGAGUUCGUGCCCAGCCCCCUGCCCCCUCGGUGGGGAGGGGGAGGGGGACGGGAAGUCGCCGGCUCGGGGAGGGCGGGGGAGGGGGAGGGAAAUGAUGGCACCGACCAGACACCAAGAAACCGGACCUGCAGCAGCAUCUCCCCAUGCAGCUCUGAACCACAGCGGCGGCUGCGACAGAGGUUUAUUAUGCUCCUGGCUCCCCUUCCUCUGCAACUUCACAGCCCAGUUUCCAUGUGGGAAAGGACCCUGGGGAUUGGCUGAUUCAAGCCCCUCGUUCCACUGCAAGGAAACCAAGGCCCAGUGACUUGACCAGAGUCCCACUGCAGUUCUCCGACCAGGGAUUGAACCCGGGCCCCUGGCAGUGAGAGCACGGAGUCCUAACCGCUGGACUGCCAAGGAAUUCCCUACCCCUAUUCUACAGACAUGAAUUCACCUGACCCUCACACAACAUCUCCACGAAGAAUGGAAGGUGAGUAUUCUUAUUAAACCCAUGGGGUUUACAUGGGGGCUCUGAAGUUCAGAGAGGUUAAAUGACUUGCAAGAGAUCCCACAGCCAGUGUCUUUUGAUUCUAUAUCUCCCACCCACCCACGCUCACAUACACACAUAGUCUGCUUCUGCUCUUAUCACUAGCUCUUCCUGAAAGUAGGAGAUCAACUCCACCAGCCCUGGCCCCAGGAAGGAUGCCCUCACCCUGUCCUCUUACUUGGAUGCCACCAGAACUGCCUCUGGUCUCUCCAUCCGCAGGUUGGAGUGAUUCUGCAGACCCCAGCAGAGGAGAGCAAAGCUCAGCGGGAAGAAGAUGCAGCCCAGUACAAAGAGCAGGGUCAUGCCUGUCUGGGGUAGAGAAGGUGAGAAAAGAUGGCUGUGAGAACACCUCAACACAGUGUCCCUCAGACCCUCCCUUCACCCCAAAAACUCAAGGCCUAUGGGAUCCAUCUUUCAUAACUAUCAAAAGCCAUCAGGCGUAGCUCUUCCCCAAUCUCUUCGAGAUCCUUAAUGCACUUUAAAUAUGCCUCAUCCAGAGCAAUUGGACAUCCUAAUUUUUGGUUAUCAAUCCAUUUCCUACACUUUUAUUCAUUUCCUCUGUAGUUCCUGAAGCUGGCCUACACCUCCCAGUCCAUCUCACACCUUAAAAUUCCCUCUUUCUCUUUCAGCUCUUAAGUAUGUGCCUGCUCUUUCUUAACUCACCCCAUCCCAUCCUCUGUCCCCCCACCCCAAGCUCUUUGUGUCACCUCUCCCCUCUCCUAGGUCCUCACCUCGGAGGGGCAAGGUGGAGGCUAGAGAGGGAGGCUGGUGGUUCUCAUCAGUGCCCAGAACUCAGAAAAAAAGGAAGGAGGGGUGUUCAAAUUGUAAAGAUAACUGAAAUUUUAAAAAUAAUAUUUCUUUAAAAAGAAAAAGAAAACUCAAGGCAUUAUCCCAUUAAAGAAACAAACAAAACAUGGGAAAACCUUUGAAAACAUAUAUAUUUACAUAUAUGUUAUUUUUGUCUGGAAAAGCCUCCCCUCCCAUCCACUCCAGGGAGGGGAGGUGUGAGGAAAGCCCAGGAGAGACGUAGGGAGUCAGGGCCUGCCAUCCUGCACCCCUUAAGCAGCUUUGAGGGGACCUUCUCAGGAUACAAGGAAAGCGUCAAACUGCAAGGGCAUGAGGCGGAGGCAGCUCUACAGAGGCAGUUGGAGGGGGCAGGAACAUCACCUUCCUAUUGGUGGAAUGGUGGACGGUUUGGAAUAUGCCGUCUUCCCAUUGGCCCACUUCUUGACAACAUGUGCUCUAUCAUAUGCUUCCUGGAGA